RNAcentral lists this ribosomal RNA (517 nucleotides) under uncultured bacterium. Its description in RNAcentral is "bacterial SSU rRNA". It matches the Rfam family "Bacterial small subunit ribosomal RNA", at positions 8 to 518 of the family's 1533-position model. The record is from RNAcentral.
AGAGUUGAUCUGGCUCAGGAUGAACGCUAGCGACAGGCUUAACACAUGCAAGUCGAGGGCAGCAUAAAAGAGCAAUACUUGGUGGCGACCGGCGCACGGGUGAGUAACGCGUAUGACAACCUAACCUAUCGAGAGGGGAAUAACCCGGCGAAAGUCGGACUAAUACCGCAUAAAACAGGGGCACCGCAUGGUGAUAUUUGUUAAAGAAAUUCGCUGAUAGAUGGGCAUGCGUUCCAUUAGGUAGUUGGUGAGGUAACGGCUCACCAAGCCGACGAUGGAUAGGGGAACUGAGAGGUUGGUCCCCCACACUGGUACUGAGACACGGACCAGACUCCUACGGGAGGCAGCAGUGAGGAAUAUUGGUCAAUGGGCGGGAGCCUGAACCAGCCAAGUCGCCGUGAAGGAAGAAGGAUCUAUGGUUCGUAAACUUCUUUUGCAGGGGAAUAAAGUGCAGGACGUGUCCUGUUUUGUAUGUACCCUGAGAAUAAGGAUCGGCUAACUCCGUGCCAGCCGCCGC